GGAUGUGAGGGUGAUCUGGCUGCGACCUGUGUCACCUCACUGAUGGCCAGGGUUGAUUCGGCUGAUCUGGCUGGCUGGGCAGGUGUCCCCUUCCCUCCUCACCGCUCCAUGUGUUUCCCACUCGAAGGGGACAGCUUUCCCCAAACAGAGAUGGACCAGUUUUUGGUCGAGGGGAUACAAGUAGCUACCCUCCCCUGCCAGGACCUCCGAACAAGCUUCUAAGAACUAGGAAGAUUCUCAGCACACUCUUUCACUGGGUUGUUUUUUAAAAUCAUACUUCUGAG
This 284-nucleotide small nuclear RNA is filed under the name Erinaceus europaeus (western European hedgehog). Its description in RNAcentral is "7SK RNA". It matches the Rfam family "7SK RNA". From Rfam's summary of the family: 7SK was discovered as an abundant small nuclear RNA in the mid-70s but a possible function has only recently been suggested. Two independent studies have found that 7SK RNA binds the CDK9/cyclin T complex (known as elongation factor P-TEFb). The record is from Rfam by way of RNAcentral. Lineage: Eukaryota; Metazoa; Chordata; Mammalia; Eulipotyphla; Erinaceidae.